Long non-coding RNA from Ctenopharyngodon idella (grass carp), 2963 nucleotides. RefSeq lists it as uncharacterized. The transcript has 2 exons. The record is from RefSeq and is a predicted model, not a curated record. NCBI's taxonomy places the organism in Eukaryota, Metazoa, Chordata, Actinopteri, Cypriniformes, Xenocyprididae.
AUGAACACGGUGGUUUUGCGAGGUUGGCACGGUGCCAUCCACUCAGCGCCGGUGCCAAAGAGGGCGUGUAGGCAGGGUGGCAUUACAGAGGAGAGAGGAGGAGAGACAGAUAACGAGAGAAAAGAGAGGCAUCAUCCUGCUGCCAAUUCUCCAAACGAAAUGUUCCCGAGCAUUGGAUUCAAAAGUUGGAGCUCUUUGAAGAUACAUCCGCCAGCUCAUCAGCAUGGCAACUGUAAAAGCGCAAAACUCUUUGCCCCAACCUGCCAUCCUCCUGCGUUUCACCGUCUCCUUCGUGACUGUGCCAGGCUCUAAGUAGGCACAUAUCCCCCAGAGAGUCAGCAGCACAUGCCCCGAUAUCGAUGCCACUCGACGCGGGUAUGACGGCAUCUGCUCUGUAUUAAUGGAGAUAUGCGACUUGUCUUGUUAUUCUCGUUGGCACGCACAAACCUUCGGCAGCGUGCCAGGAUCUCUGCGCCACCGCAUGCCGCUGGGAAGCUGGCGGUGACUUGGGAAUGGCAGAGUGCCAGCAUGUUCCUGCGGUAACCAGCCCCCGACGCGUGCCACUUGGCAAAGACAAAGAGCCCUAGGGACGAAAUACAAAACAAGAUUGAAAAACACAGUGAUCCGACAGCUUAAUUAACACUUGCAGAGUUUGUUGGGUUAAUUAGUGUGACAGAUUUGGUGAGGAGGAAUGUGGCAGGAACACUUGUGAGAACAAAAGUGAUGGGCAAACCAGAGUGAAGGAAUGUCAACGGAUGCCAGCGAUCCGCGUGCCUGUGCCAACAUCACUCGACAUUCAACAGGGUUUGUAAAAGGAUAAAUGGAAAGAAAAGGAAGAAUAAAGAAAGAGUUUGUUUCAAAUGUUGGACAUCAGAGAUGGUAAAGAUGGUGGACAGGACAGAAGAAACACCUGAGGAUACAAGCAAACAGGGAGGAGCUAAAGAAAACCACAGGCCUUGACUUAUACAGCGACUCAACAUAUCAAUCAAAUCACAACUAUUGUUAUGGUGUAUGACUUUAUCUACUGCAAAAAUCCAGAACGUACUUGCACAAAUAUACACUGAAGAGUGAAUGUUCAUUAGUACGUCGGGAACACCAAAAGGAUAAAAGACGGGUAUAAGCAUGGUGAAGUUUACCAGAUGGAUGCACAACUUUUGAAAUUUCAAGAACCUACUAGAGAUUUCCAUGUACAAGUAGAGGUUUUGUGCUUGAAUUCCUGUUCUGAGGAUCCUCGAUCCUUCCUGUCGAGUCAAGAGAGUGAGUGAGAGAAUUCAGUCUCUCACUGGAUGCGUUUGACAUUGUAGAGGAGUAUAUAAAUAAUGCAGAUUUUCUCUCCUCCUCUUCCUUCUCGUGCUUUCUGAAGGAACAGAUUUACAGACAUUGAAUCUUUCAUUGGCAUCGCUCUCGUUAAGCGACGGAGGAUUUGUUUUCCGAAACGGGCAUUGUUUUCAGCGUAACCUUCAAUAAACAAGUUCAAAUUAGCCGUUAACAACCUCGCGAAAUGGGCCGAUUAAUUUGCGGUUCCUGUUGUUUUUUUGCUUUUAUGUCUUUCUUUGUACCGAUUGCGGACAAUUAUGUACGGAUAUGCUAAUCGUGCUGUAUUAAUGAGGUUUGUAUCGCUGGGAUUCUCUUCUUUACUCCUGUGGGGAUCUUAAUUUUACCUCAUCUUUAUUAUGUAAAUGGAUUAUGCCAAAAAACUGCGCACACACAAACACACACACACACACACUAACACAAAAGGGACGAGUCAAAGGAAGAGGGAAUAAGGCAAUGGUGGGAGGGAUGGGGUGGGGGUGAAAAUGGAGGACACGCUCCCUUACCAGCUUCAGCACCAAAACGCAAGAAACUGCAGAGAAAUCUAAAAGGAUUUUUCUACUCAGUGCACCGCAUACCAAGACGCAGGACAAAUGCAUUGAAUUUUCAGUGCUUUUUUUAUUUUUUCUAGAUAUUUCUGCUGCAGCAGUCCUGCACUGGAGUGACAGAGCCAAGGAUGGGAUUUACUAGAUGAAAAGAGAGAGAGUGAGAGCGAGAGAGAAUGGUUAAUAUCCUGCGCUUAAUCAUGGCACAUGAGAUUGGCUGUAUGCAUAUCUCAUUUGCAUCUCAUUAAAUUGCUCGUGCACCUGCAGAGAGAGGGGAGAGGGGAAGAGGACAGCGCAACGAGAAAUGAGGGUGUUGUUUUAAAAUGCAGAUUUUAUGUUGAAUUAUAAAAUGUUAUUUAUUUUUUUUAAAGUACACUGUGCACUUUAAAAAGGCUGUUUUUUGGGUGUUAUUCUGAUUAUGCAUUUCAUUAUUCUAAUAAGGUAUUUAAUAUAUAUUUAUUAUAUAUUGUCUCAGUCGCAUUAGAUAUCCCAUGCCAUAGCAUUGUGACAUUAAAUUCUCUCAGGAAGGAUAAAAUUGAGAUUUUAAGAUAUUGAGGCAUAAAACAAUCCAUAUGUUUCAGAGUAUGUAAAGUCCACCACUGGUCACCAGUUUAAUAUAUGCAUGAUUAGUAUGCAGCUCUUUGCAUUCUUUUAAUAGAACUCAGGGUGAAGACUAUUGUCUCUGAUUCCAGGAUGUGCCAUCUGCCUGGCUGCAGAGACUGGCCUUUCUCUUUGUGUUCCGCACAAUGGGCUAUUCUACACUGGACAUCCACACAUAACUCAAAUAAAUCAUGCCCGAGCCAACAGACCACAAGAGGACCACUGCAAUAUUUUCCAUAAAAGAAAGGAGAAGACUCCAUGCGGAGUAGGGGAGAGAUUAGGAAAAUUAGAAAUUUUCCAUUACAGAAAUAUAAUGACAAACACAGUUGGAGGAAAGAAAUUGGAAUAAGAGAAGAACAGGAUAGGACGGGAAAGAAAAUGUAUAAUAAUUUAAAUUGUACUUAAAAUAUUACUCACAUUCACUUCUCAUGCUCAUUGUAACAUCAUUUUUUCUUACAUAUUUCGUAAAUAAAGUGCAAAACAGCGUCCAACCUCCAGACCCAA